GUGGGGAAUCUUAGACAAUGGGGGAAACCCUGAUCUAGCCAUGCCGCGUGAGCGAUGAAGGCCUUAGGGUUGUAAAGCUCUUUCAGCUGGGAAGAUAAUGACGGUACCAGCAGAAGAAGCCCCGGCUAACUCCGUGCCAGCAGCCGCGGUAAUACGGAGGGGGCUAGCGUUGUUCGGAAUUACUGGGCGUAAAGCGCGCGUAGGCGGACCAGAAAGUUGGAGGUGAAAUCCCAGGGCUCAACCUUGGAACUGCCUUCAAAACUCCUGGUCUGGAGUUCGAGAGAGGUGAGUGGAAAUCCGAGUGUAGAGGUGGAAUUCGUAGAUAUUCGGAGGAACACCAGUGGCGAAGGCGGCUCACUGGCUCGAUACUGACGCUGAGGUGCGAAAGCGUGGGGAGCAAACAGGAUUAGAUACCCUAGUAGUCC
Molecule: ribosomal RNA, 425 nt
Filed under: uncultured bacterium
Lineage: Bacteria
Description: partial 16S ribosomal RNA
Rfam family: Bacterial small subunit ribosomal RNA
Source: RNAcentral